UACGAAGGGGGCUAGCGUUGUUCGGAACUACUGGGCGUAAAGGGCGCGUAGGCGGUCUGUCGCGUCGGCUGUGAAAACCCGGAGCUCAACUCCGGGCCUGCAGUCGAUACGGGCAGACUGGGUGUCGGCAGGGGGAGACUGGAAUUCCUGGUGUAGCGGUGAAAUGCGCAGAUAUCAGGAGGAACACCGGUGGCGAAGGCGGGGUCUCUGGGCAAUAACUGACGCUGGAGGAGCGAAAGCGUGGGGAGCGAACAGG
RNAcentral lists this ribosomal RNA (256 nucleotides) under uncultured bacterium. Its description in RNAcentral is "partial 16S ribosomal RNA". It matches the Rfam family "Bacterial small subunit ribosomal RNA", at positions 524 to 776 of the family's 1533-position model. The record is from RNAcentral.